RNAcentral lists this ribosomal RNA (497 nucleotides) under uncultured bacterium. RNAcentral's name for it is "partial 16S ribosomal RNA". It matches the Rfam family "Bacterial small subunit ribosomal RNA", at positions 28 to 507 of the family's 1533-position model. The record is from RNAcentral.
GAUGAACGCUGGCGGCGUGCCUAAUACAUGCAAGUCGAGCGAACAGAUGAGGAGCUUGCUCCUCUGACGUUAGCGGCGGACGGGUGAGUAACACGUUGAUAACCUACCUAUAAGACUGGGAUAACUUCGGGAAACCGGAGCUAAUACCGGAUAAUAUAUUGAACCGCAUGGUUCAAUAGUGAAAGACGGUUUUGCUGUCACUUAUAGAUGGAUCCGCGCCGCAUUAGCUAGUUGGUAAGGUAACGGCUUACCAAGGCAACGAUGCGUAGCCGACCUGAGAGGGUGAUCGGCCACACUGGAACUGAGACACGGUCCAGACUCCUACGGGAGGCAGCAGUAGGGAAUCUUCCGCAAUGGGCGAAAGCCUGACGGAGCAACGCCGCGUGAGUGAUGAAGGUCUUCGGAUCGUAAAACUCUGUUAUUAGGGAAGAACAAAUGUGUAAGUAACUAUGCACGUCUUGACGGUACCUAAUCAGAAAGCCACGGCUAACUACGUG